AUGGAGAGUUUGAUCCUGGCUCAGGAUGAACGCUAGCGGCAGGCCUAACACAUGCAAGUCGAACGGUAACAGAAAAAGCUUGCUUUUUGCUGACGAGUGGCGAACGGGUGCGUAACGCGUAUGCAACCUACCUUUUUCUAAGGAAUAGCCCAGAGAAAUUUGGAUUAAUACCUUAUAAUAAUAUUCAUUCGCAUGUUUGAAUAUUUAAAGCUUUUGCGGAAAAAGAUGGGCAUGCGUGACAUUAGUUUGUUGGUGAGGUAACGGCUCACCAAGACUACGAUGUCUAGGGGUUCUGAGAGGAUGAUCCCCCACACUGGUACUGAGACACGGACCAGACUCCUACGGGAGGCAGCAGUGAGGAAUAUUGGUCAAUGGACGAAAGUCUGAACCAGCCAUGCCGCGUGAAGGAUGACGGCCCUACGGGUUGUAAACUUCUUUUGUAUAGGAAGAAACCCCCCUACGUGUAGGGGGCUGACGGUACUAUACGAAUAAGCACCGGCUAACUCCGUGCCAGCAGCCGCGGUAAUACGGAGGGUGCAAGCGUUAUCCGGAAUUAUUGGGUUUAAAGGGUGCGUAGGCGGAAAUUUAAGUCAGUGGUGAAAGCCUGCAGCUCAACUGUAGAAUUGCCAUUGAUACUGAAUUUCUUGAAUCUAAUUGAAGUGGGCGGAAUAUGACAUGUAGCGGUGAAAUGCUUAGAUAUGUCAUAGAACACCGAUAGCGAAGGCAGCUCACUAAGUUAGUAUUGACGCUCAUGCACGAAAGCGUGGGGAGCGAACAGGAUUAGAUACCCUGGUAGUCCACGCUGUAAACGAUGAUUACUCGCUAUUGGCGAUACACUGUCAGUGGCUAAGCGAAAGUGAUAAGUAAUCCACCUGGGGAGUACGAUCGCAAGGUUGAAACUCAAAGGAAUUGACGGGGGCCCGCACAAGCGGUGGAGCAUGUGGUUUAAUUCGAUGAUACGCGAGGAACCUUACCAGGACUUAAAUGCAUAACGAUCGGUUGAGAAAUCAACUUUUCUUCGGACGGUAUGCAAGGUGCUGCAUGGUUGUCGUCAGCUCGUGCCGUGAGGUGUCAGGUUAAGUCCUAUAACGAGCGCAACCCCUAUUCUUAGUUGCCAGCGGUUCGGCCGGGGACUCUAAGAAAACUGCCAGCGCAAGCUGUGAGGAAGGUGGGGAUGACGUCAAAUCAUCACGGCCCUUACGUCCUGGGCCACACACGUGCUACAAUGGUAGGUACAAAGGGCAGCCACUUGGCGACAAGGAGCUAAUCUCUAAAACCUAUCUCAGUUCGGAUUGGAGUCUGCAACUCGACUCUAUGAAGCUGGAAUCGCUAGUAAUCGCGCAUCAGCCAUGGCGCGGUGAAUACGUUCCCGGGCCUUGUACACACCGCCCGUCAAGCCAUGGAAGCUGGGGGUACCUGAAGUCGGUAACCAUAUAGGAGCUGCCUAGGGUAAAACUAGUGACUGGGGCUAAGUCGUAACAAGGUAGCCGUACCGGAAGGUGUGGCUGGAACACCUCCUU
Molecule: ribosomal RNA, 1520 nt
Filed under: Crocinitomicaceae bacterium
Lineage: Bacteria; Pseudomonadati; Bacteroidota; Flavobacteriia; Flavobacteriales; Crocinitomicaceae
Description: bacterial SSU rRNA
Rfam family: Bacterial small subunit ribosomal RNA
Source: RNAcentral